UAAUACUUGUUCCCUUCCUGCCCCACUGGCCUGUUGGGAGGCAUAAGUAGACUCAUAGCAUGCUAGGUCCUCCCUUUUCAUUAUCUUCCUAGGAAAACAGUUACCCAUAGGAGCCCAGAACCUUGCCUAGAGUCACCCUGCCAGCAAGUGGCAGAGCUGCGAUUUGAAUCUGGGGCUUAUGCAUCUGAUUCUGCUGAGGAUGUCAAAUUACCAGGCUUUGGUCUAAGCAGAAGUCAGGGGACAGCAGUGAAAAGAGCACGGUUCCACACCUUGAUGCCGUCUCUCACUUUCCCUCUGUGUGACCUUGGGGCAUCCUGGUAUUGGAGAGAAGGACUCAGGCCCCAGAAAUGAAGCAAAAACAGCCCAAUUUCCAAUACUGAUUACUUUGGACCAGAACCGUACACAGAAAAAGAGGACACUUGGUUUUUGUUGUUUGUUUUUUGUUUUUUUUGAAAAAAAAUAAAGGAAUGAGGCAAACAAA
RNAcentral lists this long non-coding RNA (481 nucleotides) under Homo sapiens (human). RNAcentral describes it as "HSALNT0318827". Lineage: Eukaryota; Metazoa; Chordata; Mammalia; Primates; Hominidae. The record is from RNAcentral.